Molecule: transfer RNA, 60 nt
Filed under: Marmota marmota marmota (Alpine marmot)
Lineage: Eukaryota; Metazoa; Chordata; Mammalia; Rodentia; Sciuridae
Also listed under: 2 other names
Rfam family: tRNA
About the family: Transfer RNA (tRNA) molecules are approximately 80 nucleotides in length. Their secondary structure includes four short double-helical elements and three loops (D, anti-codon, and T loops). Further hydrogen bonds mediate the characteristic L-shaped molecular structure. tRNAs have two regions of fundamental functional importance: the anti-codon, which is responsible for specific mRNA codon recognition, and the 3' end, to which the tRNAs corresponding amino acid is attached (by aminoacyl-tRNA synthetases). tRNAs cope with the degeneracy of the genetic code in two manners: having more than one tRNA (with a specific anti-codon) for a particular amino acid; and 'wobble' base-pairing, i.e. permitting non-standard base-pairing at the 3rd anti-codon position.
Source: Rfam by way of RNAcentral
UGUCAUUCAGUGGUGGAGUACUUGCCUAGCACGCAAGAGUCCUGGGUUCCAUCCCCAGCA